Molecule: long non-coding RNA, 835 nt
Filed under: Daucus carota (carrot)
Lineage: Eukaryota; Viridiplantae; Streptophyta; Magnoliopsida; Apiales; Apiaceae
Description: long non-coding RNA (DCAR_LNC002307)
Source: RNAcentral
UGAUUUAUUUUGUUAUAUCAAGCACCUUGAUAUGCAGGAGAGUAAAAGAACAGGUGCAAAUUUCUGUUUGUAAAACUGAAGUUGUGAAGUUCGGUUUUGGAAUAAAGCCUGAAAACCCUUGAGCAAUCAUCAAUCCAGUUUUCUCAAAAAAAAUCAGUAUUAUCCUUUGCUACUACGUGGGCCGUUUGGGUGAGUUUAAAAUAAAUGCUUAUUGCUUAAAAUGAAAAAGUGAAGUAAAAGUUAGAAGCAAGUUAAGACUUAUAAGUGAUAAAAGUGUUUGGGAAAUAAGUAGAAGCCGUGAGACAAAAGCUAGUAAUCGUAGCUUUUUUUAAAGUACUCCUUGACUUCUUACACAAACGGUACAAAUAAGUGCUUCUAACUUAUAAUUCAGAAGCCGGGCUUAUAAGUCCGUGCCAAACACCCACGUACGUGUGGAAUCCUGUAGACUUUAUUAGAAGAACUUAGCAAUAUCUAGAUUUAUAUAUCCUUAACUGCCAAGUAUUGACUAAUUUUUUUUAUUUCACUACGUUUUGGAUACUGGUCAUACUGGUGGAAGUUUUGGAAUAUUAAGUGUUGGUGGUUCAGGUAUCCUCAUUUCAAUAUUAAAGUUUGGUGGUUGAACCAACCUCAACUAAAUGUGAUUGUGAUAAGGUCAGUUAGUAGUAGACUGAAAACCAUUGUUGUAUUCUAAACUGGAGGGCUGUAGUGGCCAUUUACUUGGUAGUGGUAUAUUAAUUUUGUAGCCCUGGCCUUCAAUCAAAGCUGCUUUCAGAGUGAUGGCUUUGAUACUUAUAACUAUAUACACUUGUUAGUUACGUAAGAAGCUGGUACAUGG